GAAUGUGAGGGAGAUCUGGCUGUGACAUCUGUCACCCCACUUGAUCUGCAGGGUUAAUUCGGCUGAUUUGACUGGCUAGGCAGGUGUCCCCUUCUUCCCUCAGAGCUCCAUGUGCCUCCCUCCCAAAGCUGCUUGCUUGGUCAAAGAGGAAGGCCUUCCCUGAGUAAGAGACCUACUGGUCCUAGGUUGAGUAGUUGCACUCCCCUGCUAGAACCCUGAGAUAUUCCUUGGCCUCAGUGCUAGAACCCUGAGAUAUUCCUUG
Molecule: small nuclear RNA, 262 nt
Filed under: Erinaceus europaeus (western European hedgehog)
Lineage: Eukaryota; Metazoa; Chordata; Mammalia; Eulipotyphla; Erinaceidae
Description: 7SK RNA
Rfam family: 7SK RNA
About the family: 7SK was discovered as an abundant small nuclear RNA in the mid-70s but a possible function has only recently been suggested.
Source: Rfam by way of RNAcentral